This 459-nucleotide ribosomal RNA is filed under the name uncultured bacterium. Its description in RNAcentral is "partial 16S ribosomal RNA". It matches the Rfam family "Bacterial small subunit ribosomal RNA", at positions 338 to 795 of the family's 1533-position model. The record is from RNAcentral.
CCUACGGGAGGCAGCAGUGAGGAAUAUUGGUCAAUGGCCGAGAGGCUGAACCAGCCAAGUCGCGUGAGGGAAGACGGCCCUACGGGUUGUAAACCUCUUUUGUCGGGGAGCAAAGCGAGGCACGUGUGACGCAUUGAGAGUACCCGAAGAAAAAGCAUCGGCUAACUCCGUGCCAGCAGCCGCGGUAAUACGGAGGAUGCGAGCGUUAUCCGGAUUUAUUGGGGGUAAAGGGUGCGCAGGCGGAGGUGCAAGUCAGCGGUCAAAUUGCGGGGCUCAACCCCGUACGGCCGUUGAAACUGCAUCCCUUGAGUGCGCGCGACGUAUGCGGCAUGCGUGUUGUCGCGGUGAACUGCCUAGCUAUCACGCAGCACUCCGAUUGCGCAGGCAGCAUCCCGGCGCGCAACUGCCGCUCAUGCACGAACGCGUGGGUAUCGAACCGGAUUAGAUACCCUAGUAGUC